RNAcentral lists this unclassified non-coding RNA (368 nucleotides) under soil metagenome. Its description in RNAcentral is "partial contains 5.8S ribosomal RNA, internal transcribed spacer 2, and large subunit ribosomal RNA". The stretch from base 1 to 120 matches the Rfam family "5.8S ribosomal RNA", at positions 35 to 154 of the family's 154-position model. The record is from RNAcentral.
GAUGAAGAACGCAGCGAAAUGCGAUAAGUAAUGUGAAUUGCAGAAUUCAGUGAAUCAUCGAAUCUUUGAACGCACAUUGCGCCCGCCAGUAUUCUGGCGGGCAUGCCUGUUCGAGCGUCAUUUCAACCCUCAAGCCCUGCUUGGUGUUGGGGAUCGGCGUUGCCUCCUCCGUCGUUCGCGGCGGGGUGAGGUCGCCGCCCCCGAAAUGAAUUGGCGGUCUCGUCGCAGCUUUCCUUUGCGUAGUAACAUACCACCUCGCAACCAGGAGCGCGGCGCGGCCACUGCCGUAAAACGCCCAACUUUUUCAAGAGUUGACCUCGAAUCAGGUAGGAAUACCCGCUGAACUUAAGCAUAUCAAUAAGCGGAGG